RNAcentral lists this ribosomal RNA (617 nucleotides) under uncultured bacterium. RNAcentral describes it as "bacterial SSU rRNA". It matches the Rfam family "Bacterial small subunit ribosomal RNA", at positions 8 to 616 of the family's 1533-position model. The record is from RNAcentral.
AGAGUUUGAUCCUGGCUCAGAAUUAACGCUGGCAGAGUGCAUAACACAUGCAAGUCGAGCGAGGCACUUAUUGUAGCAAUACAGUGGGUGCUUAGCGGCAAACGAGUGAGUAACACGUAAGAAACCUGCCUCCGAGCGGUGAAUAACGUGCCGAAAGGCGCGCUAAUGCGCCGUACGGUGCCGGGAAGGCAUCUUCCUGGUACGAAAGGCCCGCAAGGGUCGCUCGGAGUGGGUCUUGCGGCCCAUCAGCUAGUUGGCGGGGUAAUGGCCCACCAAGGCUAUGACGGGUACCCGACCUGAAAGGGUGACCGGGCACGAAGGCACUGAGACACGGGCCUUACUCCUACGGGAGGCAGCAGUGGGGAAUUUUGGACAAUGGGCGAAAGCCUGAUCCAGCAACUCUGCGUGAGGGACGAAGUCUUUCGGGAUGUAAACCUCUUUUGUCAGGGACGAAAGCCCCUUAAAAGGUUUGACGGUACCUGGCGAAUAAGCCACGGCUAACUACGUGCCAGCAGCCGCGGUAAGACGUAGGUGGCGAGCGUUAUUCGGAAUUACUAGGCGUAAAGCGAGUGUAGGCGGGUGCUUAAGUCCACUGUGAAAUCUUCCUGCUUAACGGG